UUCGAAGGGGGCUAGCGUUGCUCGGAAUCACUGGGCGUAAAGGGCGCGUAGGCGGCCAUUCAAGUCGGGUGUGAAAGCCCUGGGCUCAACCCAGGAAGUGCACUCGAUACUGCCUCGCUAGAGUCCCGGAGAGGUUGGUGGAACUCUCGGUGUAGUGGUGAAAUUCGUAGAUAUCGAGAAGAACACCGGUGGCGAAGGCGGCCAACUGGACGGUGACUGACACUGAGACGCGAAAGCGUGGGGAGCAAACAGG
This 253-nucleotide ribosomal RNA is filed under the name uncultured bacterium. RNAcentral's name for it is "partial 16S ribosomal RNA". It matches the Rfam family "Bacterial small subunit ribosomal RNA", at positions 524 to 776 of the family's 1533-position model. The record is from RNAcentral.